This 491-nucleotide ribosomal RNA is filed under the name Pennahia aneus (bigeye croaker). RNAcentral describes it as "partial large subunit ribosomal RNA". It matches the Rfam family "Bacterial large subunit ribosomal RNA", at positions 1934 to 2577 of the family's 2925-position model. Lineage: Eukaryota; Metazoa; Chordata; Actinopteri; Sciaenidae. The record is from RNAcentral.
CGGUAUUCUGACCGUGCAAAGGUAGCGCAAUCAUUUGUCUUUUAAAUAAAGACCCGUAUGAAAGGCAAAGCGAGGGCUUUACUGUCUCCUUUUUCUAGUCAAUGAAAUUGAACCCCCCGUGAAGAAGCGGGGAUUCUUCCAUAAGACGAGAAGACCCUGUGGAGCUUCAGACACAUGAACAGAUCACGUCAAAACCCCCUUACAAAGGAAUGACUAAACGAACCCUGUUUAAAUGUCUUCGGUUGGGGCGACCACGGUGGAACUACAAAACCCCCGCGUGGAACGAGAGCACCCCGCUCCCACAACUAAGAGCUACCGCUCAAAUAAGCACAAUCUCUGACCAUCAAGAUCCGGCAAUGCCGAUCAACGAACCAAGUUACCCCAGGGAUAACAGCGCAAUCCUCUUUCAGAGUUCAUAUCGACAAGAGGGUUUACGACCUCGAUGUUGGAUCAGGACAUCCCAAUGGUGCAGCCGCUAUUAAAGGUUCGUU